Pyrus x bretschneideri (Chinese white pear) is the source of this 1356-nucleotide long non-coding RNA. RefSeq lists it as uncharacterized. NCBI's taxonomy places the organism in Eukaryota, Viridiplantae, Streptophyta, Magnoliopsida, Rosales, Rosaceae. The transcript has 4 exons. The record is from RefSeq and is a predicted model, not a curated record.
CUCUCUCUCUCUCUCUCUCUCUCUCUCUGUCUCCCUCCUUCCCUUAACCCACCCACCACAGACUCUCUCUCCCCUCCUUAACCCACCCACACCCACUUCUCUCUUCCAUCCGUUUCUCUCUUUACCAAAUGGAUUACUUUGGUCUCACACAUAUAUAUUAAUCCUUAAUCCUCAGUCUUCACUUCGUGAAUUCGUCCCCUGAAUCGCGAUUCCACCCACAGUCCACACCACCUUGCCCGAAUCGAGCUCUCAGUCUUAGUCCUCACUCCUCCUCACUCCACAAGGUAAGAAUAUCAUGCAAUAAACUCAACCAAAGUUCAUGGAUAUUGUUUUAUUUUGAAUCUGGUUAGUGAUUUUGAAUAUGGGUUAUGAAUCAGAGCUUUUGAAAACGGUCUCUGAAUUAGGGAUUUUGGAUUAGGGUCUCUCUAUACCUCUCUCUCUCUCUCUCUCUCACUCCUCUCAUAUCUGGGUUUUUCCUUUGUUUUUUUUUUCUUUGAAAAACACCAACACCACCCAUGCAUCAUAUUUGAGUUCGUGUUUUUUCAUUUCGAGUUUAUAUCUUAUGAGAUCUGACAUGUAUAUUUUGUAUCUCGCCUUGUUGCUUAUGGAUUUGAGUUUUGAAAUUAUUUUACAUUUUUUUUUCAUACUUGCCCGUUGCAUGCAAUUUUGGAUAUGAAUAUGAUGGAUUUUUGGUUAUUUCAUACUGUGAGGUUUCUCGGUGACUGGUUUGGUCGACCCGAUCCAACUCAUAUUGGAGCAGUUUAGAGCCUUGUUCACUCUGUCUCUGCAACCUCAAAGGCCCUGGCCUUGUCACGCCCCCAUUGCCGGUGAGUCAGGUGACCAUGAGCUGAAUGUAUUAUCUCCAACCCAAAAAUUGCUUUUACAACCCGAAGUGAGGAAUUUGAAUCUUUGAGAUGGCAGAUCUGGAACUUGUAGAAUCAAAAUGAAGAUGAUAAUAUUUCUGCACCAAAUCUGAACCUUGAGCAAUUAGCCAUGUAAUCUUAUGCAGAGUGUGAUGAGUCUGAACAAUGUAGUAAUGUAGAGUCAGUUGUUAUGGAGGGUGGACUUAUUUUUGAUGAGGAAUAUUUGUAUACUUUCCUCAUCCAUUGUUGGUUGUUCUGGAGGGUGGAGUUGUUAUAUAAGAAUCAUCUUAAAGCAAGUGGUGGAAAGACCCUUGAAGCAAAUAAGAGUCCUCCCACAAAGCAAAGAUUUGAUGAGGUGCAAGGCCUGCUGGGAAGAUGCAUCUAUCCAAAAAUGUUUGCUUUCAAGUUUUUUUUUCUUCUUUGGGUAUUAGAGAGAAAAUAUGUAACACAACAAUAUAUGUUUGUGAGAUUCAUAAAGUGAAAGUUGGUUUCA